GAGACGUUAGCUCAGUUGGUUUAGAGCGCUUGCUUGACAGGCAAGAGGUCGCUUGUUCGAUUCCAGCACGCCUCA
RNAcentral lists this transfer RNA (75 nucleotides) under Bacteroidales bacterium. RNAcentral's name for it is "tRNA-Val". It matches the Rfam family "tRNA". From Rfam's summary of the family: Transfer RNA (tRNA) molecules are approximately 80 nucleotides in length. Their secondary structure includes four short double-helical elements and three loops (D, anti-codon, and T loops). The record is from RNAcentral. Lineage: Bacteria; Pseudomonadati; Bacteroidota; Bacteroidia; Bacteroidales.